This 1130-nucleotide ribosomal RNA is filed under the name marine metagenome. Its description in RNAcentral is "bacterial LSU rRNA". It matches the Rfam family "Bacterial large subunit ribosomal RNA", at positions 1772 to 2925 of the family's 2925-position model. The record is from RNAcentral.
GCUGGGGGCACAAACCAGGGGGUGGCGACUGUUUACUAAAAACACAGGGCUCUGCGAAGUCGCAAGACGACGUAUAGGGUCUGACGCCUGCCCGGUGCCUGAAGGUUAAAAGGAGGGGUGAGAGCUCCGAAUUGAAGCCCAGGUAAACGGCGGCCGUAACUAUAACGGUCCUAAGGUAGCGAAAUUCCUUGUCGGGUAAGUUCCGACCUGCACGAAUGGCGUAACGACUUCCCCGCUGUCUCCAACAUAGACUCAGUGAAAUUGAAUUGCCUGUCAAGAUGCAGGCUUCCCGCGGUUAGACGGAAAGACCCCGUGCACCUUUACUACAACUUUACACUGAUAACAGGCACAACAUGUGCAGAAUAGGUGGUAGGCUUUGAAGCAGAAACGCCAGUUUUUGUGGAGCCUCCUUUGAGAUACCACCCUUGUUUUGCUUGUUAUCUAACUGCGGUCCGUUAUCCGGAUCCAGGACCCUGUAUGGUGGGUAGUUUGACUGGGGCGGUCGCCUCCUAAAGCGUAACGGAGGCGCGCGAAGGUUGGCUCAGAGCGGUCGGAAAUCGCUCGUUGAGUGCAAUGGCAGAAGCCAGCCUGACUGCGAGACUGACAAGUCGAGCAGAGUCGAAAGACGGCCAUAGUGAUCCGGUGGUCCCGAGUGGAAGGGCCAUCGCUCAACGGAUAAAAGGUACGCCGGGGAUAACAGGCUGAUGGUGCCCAAGAGUCCAUAUCGACGGCACCGUUUGGCACCUCGAUGUCGGCUCAUCUCAUCCUGGGGCUGGAGCAGGUCCCAAGGGUACGGCUGUUCGCCGUUUAAAGAGGUACGUGAGCUGGGUUUAGAACGUCGUGAGACAGUUCGGUCCCUAUCUGCCGUGGGUGUAGGAUACUUGAGAGGAGUUGCCCCUAGUACGAGAGGACCGGGGUGAACGAUCCACUGGUGGACCAGUUGUCGACUACGGCAGUGCUGGGUAGCUAUGAUCGGACAGGAUAACCGCUGAAAGCAUCUAAGCGGGAAGCCCCCCUCAAAACAAGGUAUCCCUGAGGACCGAGGUAGACCACCUCGUCGAUAGGCCAGAGGUGUAAGCGUGGUAACACGUUCAGCUGACUGGUACUAAUGGUCCGAUAGGCUUGAUUUG